RNAcentral lists this ribosomal RNA (678 nucleotides) under uncultured bacterium. RNAcentral describes it as "bacterial SSU rRNA". It matches the Rfam family "Bacterial small subunit ribosomal RNA", at positions 224 to 918 of the family's 1533-position model. The record is from RNAcentral.
GAUGGGCUCGCGUCUGAUUAGAUAGUUGGUGGGGUAACGGCCUACCAAGUCGACGAUCAGUAGCCGGACUGAGAGGUUGGUCGGCCACAUUGGGACUGAGACACGGCCCAGACUCCUACGGGAGGCAGCAGUGGGGAAUAUUGCACAAUGGGGGAAACCCUGAUGCAGCAACGCCGCGUGAAGGAAGACGGUUUUCGGAUUGUAAACUUCUGUUCUUAGUGAAGAAUAAUGACGGUAGCUAAGGAGCAAGCCACGGCUAACUACGUGCCAGCAGCCGCGGUAAUACGUAGGUGGCAAGCGUUGUCCGGAAUUACUGGGUGUAAAGGGAGCGUAGGCGGGAUGCCAAGUCAGCUGUGAAAACUACGGGCUUAACCUGUAGACUGCAGUUGAAACUGGUAUUCUUGAGUGAAGUAGAGGUUGGCGGAAUUCCGAGUGUAGCGGUGAAAUGCGUAGAUAUUCGGAGGAACACCGGUGGCGAAGGCGGCCAACUGGGCUUUAACUGACGCUGAGGCUCGAAAGUGUGGGGAGCAAACAGGAUUAGAUACCCUGGUAGUCCACACUGUAAACGAUGAUAACUAGGUGUGGGGGGUCUGACCCCUUCCGUACCGCAGCUAACGCAAUAAGUUAUCCACCUGGGGAGUACGACCGCAAGGUUGAAACUCAAAGGAAUUGACGGGG